AUGGGAGCAGACUUAAAUGACUGCUGUUUUAUAAAAUACUUGAAAAAAAAUCAUUUAAGAGCAGGUAAUAAUUGGCAAAAAUCUGAAACUCCAGCCAUGCUGCUGGAACUGUUUGCCCUGUUUGCUGAAAAGAGUCACUUCAGUGAAUUUAUGGACAAUGAACAGCUUGUUGCUAUGCACCAUUACAGAAAGAUCUGCAAGGGGAAUGGAAAGAAGAACAGUAGGAAACGUGUUCCAUUUUGGAUGGUAGAUCAGAGCAGCACCUUACAAGCAGAAACACGCUCUGCAGAACUCAGGGUAGGGUUCUGAGCAGUCCGCACAACCAACAGCUACAGCGCUAACAGGAGGAGCUUUGCUUCAAACGAUGGAAUUCUAGAGCACAGGUGCAGGUUGGAAUGCACUAAGACUUAAAGUGAAGAUGAAAUGCUUGGUGUGAAGCUCCUUUGUGUUUUAGAAUCCAGAUUCUUUGAACACUGACCCCUCUGAGGAAGGAGAGGGAAGCAGCUCAAGAAAGAUGUCUGGUGAAAGCCUUAAUCGCAGCUGUCUGGAAGGCUGAAAUCUGUUGCUAAACCAUGUGAACCUGGCGGGCCAUUGGUUAGAAGCCGUGGCAAGCUGAGGUCUCUCAAGGAAAACACUGAAGCAUCCUGAGAAACAAAUUGCUGUAGAUAUGGAGAAUGCCUCAUCCCAUCCUCUGCUGCUGGGAGCCCUCCUGCUUUAGUUUUAUGUGGUUUGGGGCAGGUUACAUGGCUGUGUGACAUGCUGUGCAACAGAGCUGCCUGUCACUAAGGUUUCUCUGGCUGAUAACUCAGGUGUUACUGGCUAGCUGUUAUCCAAAGCUGUCUCCUAUCAUGAUGCUUUGAUUCCGUUAUGUUCUGCUAAGCCUCGCAGUAUUCCAUGUUCAUGACUUGUUUGGAGGCUGACGUGAAGAAAACAAGAUUUCCUCAGCAGCCAGAAGGCUCCAAUGAUCCUGUGGGUGUUUCCAAGUGGUGGUUUUGUCCCUAAGGCUGUGUGAGAGGGGGACACAUCAGUGGGCAAGAGGCAGAAACCUGCCCUGACCUUCUCCAUUGCUGGCCGAGGGCUUCUGAGUGCUGCUUCUGAGUGCUUCCACAACUGGCCUGUUGUGGAACUGUGGUUGGAAAGCAAAAACGUGGAGAGAAGAGUGAGGAGGAGCUUAGAAAUAACUAUAGAGUGCAGGAGUCAACAGGAUGGGGCUCUUUUAGGUGAUGCCCAGGGACAAAACAAGGAGCAAUGGGCACAAACUGGAACGCAGCAAGUUCCAUAUAACGUGAGGAAAACUUUCCUGUGGGGUGACAGAGCACUGGCACUGCAUGGAGAGGCUGCCGAGCCUCCUCCUCUGGAGAUAUUACAAUAAAACACCUGGACACUUUCCUAUGCA
RNAcentral lists this long non-coding RNA (1396 nucleotides) under Coturnix japonica (Japanese quail). RNAcentral's name for it is "lncRNA (ENSCJPG00005018377.1)". Lineage: Eukaryota; Metazoa; Chordata; Aves; Galliformes; Phasianidae. The record is from RNAcentral.